UACGAAGGGGGCUAGCGUUGUUCGGAAUUACUGGGCGUAAAGCGUGCGCAGGCGGUUCGUUAAGUCAGCUGUGAAAGCCCCGGGCUCAACCUGGGAAUUGCGGUUGAAACUGGCGGACUAGAAUCUGGCAGAGGGGGGUGGAAUUCCACGUGUAGCAGUGAAAUGCGUAGAGAUGUGGAGGAACACCGAUGGCGAAGGCAGCCCCCUGGGCUGAGAUUGACGCUCAGGCACGAAAGCGUGGGGAGCAAACAGG
Molecule: ribosomal RNA, 253 nt
Filed under: uncultured bacterium
Lineage: Bacteria
Description: partial 16S ribosomal RNA
Rfam family: Bacterial small subunit ribosomal RNA
Source: RNAcentral